Molecule: long non-coding RNA, 7892 nt
Organism: Trichechus manatus latirostris (Florida manatee)
Lineage: Eukaryota; Metazoa; Chordata; Mammalia; Sirenia; Trichechidae
Exons: 8
Source: RefSeq, a predicted model, not a curated record
CCGCCAUGGCCUGUUGCUGCCACCCUGGCGCCGAGAGCUCAGUGAUGCCGCCCUGUCCACCCCGACUUGGGACAGCCGACUCCAAGAAUCAUGCUACGACACUCGGUUCAGCUAGGAGGUGAUAUUAAAUGCAAUCAAAAAUCUUGCCACUAAUGAAGGUGUAUAUUCAGCCCCAGCUGGACCAGUGAGAUUAGUAGAGAAUUGGGAGAGGCUCAAAUCAGCAUCCUUGCACAUGGUCAUCAAAUCAUUGUGAAGUCUUGAUUCCUGGGCAGCCAGAAACCUUGUCAUUGGUCAAGAGCAACAUUAAGACCUGCCUGUCACUUAUACUGAGACUUUCUGCCCAGUGGGUUCACCAGAGAGCCAGAAUGAAUUGCCAUUGCCUUGGACAUCCUUGGGAGGAAGUUGAGAAGCCUUGGUAAGUGGUCAGUGGUUUUGGUAGGGUUCCCCAGUUGAUGGUGGAGAAGAGAAGGAAAAGUCGCCUGGAUGCAGCACUUCCCUUCUUUCUUCAACACUCAGUAAGUACUUACUAACUGUCAGGGACUGUUCUAGAUAUUAAUGAAGUUCUGGCUCAUGGAACUUUCGUUCUUGUAAGGGUAGAUAAAGGAAUAAAUAAACUAAUAAAUGUAUAAUGUGGCAUAAGUGUUAUAUCAGAUUUUUUUUCAUUGUGUUAUGAAAAAUUACAUUAAAAAUGGCUGGGUUAGACUAAACAACAUCUUGUGUUUCUCCACUCUUCUCAUUCUGCCUUUUACUUCCUCUCUGCAUGAUGUUGGCCAAUUUUGUUCCCAUUGCUGAACCUCAAUUUUCAAUCAGUAGAAUGAGGGGUUUAUGUAACUUUCUUGAAGAUCCUUCCAGCUUUGACCUUUUUGGAGUCUCUCAAUGCAAUGGAGGAUGACCAAGCUGAGUGUGGAGAGGGUCAUAGAUAAUCAAAACAUUUUUUUUCCUCUUCGUAACCCAUCACGAGGCUGAACUGUGAAGGAUGUCUUUGAAAAGCAUUUUAGAGAGGUCACCAGAUCUUCCAUGUGAGUGAACAUACAGCAGAAGAGGAGAGCCCUUUCAGAGAUUAAGGUGAACAUUAGAAACACCUUGUCAAGUUCUCAUCACGAAUAUCAUUGGAUUUGUUAUUGGAAUGACAUUGAAUUUCUAGAUUAAUUUGGGAAGAGCUAUCGUCUUUAUAAUCUUCCCAUACAUGAAUGUGCUUCUCCUCUCUGCUGCCUCUUGAGCUGCCAGGCAUUGUGCUGGGUGAUGGGGAUAUGGAGACGAAAUAGACACAGUCCCUGCCCUCAAGGAGUUCCCAGUCUAGUGAGAGAGAUCAACAAGUACACAGAUAAUUACAACAGUAUGGUAUGCUCUACAAUAGAGGUAUGUACAAGGCACUAUGGGGUUCAGAAGAGAAAUCAUUUGACUGGGUCUGGAGAUGUCAGAGGUCAGAGGAACUGAUUCUUAAGUUGAGUGUUAAAAGAAAUAAAGGUUGACCAGGCAGAAACAGAGGGAAGAAUCUUCUACACAAAGGCAUGGACAUUGGAAAUAGAAUGAUGUGUUGGAGGAACUGUAAAUAAUAUAAAUGAGGCUGGAAAUGUUGGCCAGAUAUAGAUCCUUAUAUAAUAUUCCAUAGAAUUUGGAUUUCAUUAUGAGGGUAAAGGGGAGACUUUGCAAAGUUUUAAGAAGUUUAAGAGUUUUGAAGGUCACUCUGGUGGUAGUGUGGAGUAUGUUCUGGAAGACUCAGGAAUCUGGACAGGGAGAUUAGUUAUAAUUAUUAAGAUGAGAAAUGAUCUAAGGCAGAAGGAGUGGGAGUGGACAAAAGGGAAUGUAUUUAAGAGGUUAUAAAAAUGCAGACGUAAUAGAACUUAGGGGAAAAUUAGGGUGAUGGAGAGGGAAAAGUCAAAGCUUUCUGACUUGGCAAAUGUGCAUCCCCCUACUCUUACCCCUGGCCUUGAUGAAAGAUCCUCUCAUGUUCUUUAGAUGGAUGCGAGUGAUGGUUGAUAUGUUAAUGGUUUCGUUUGGACCAGGGCUUGGAUGCACAGGUUUUGCAAGAUUUUUUCUUAGGGAGAGCCAUAUGAGAAAUACUGGUUCUCAGGAAGCCAUCUGAACAGCAACAGACCUAUUAUAGUGUUCUUAAGUUCAGGUUCCUAAGUUCCUGUUCCUUCUCGUCAGUGACAUCCUUACUCUCCCUGCUACAUGUCUCCCAAGGUUGUUUUAUCAAAAGUGGAUGCUUACUUUUCAGUGGCUGUUUUAUACCUAAGAUCUACUCAGAAAAGAGAGGAUCUUAGUUGCUAUUGGCUCAACUGUUUUAUUUUGCUUAGGGAUUUGAAGAUGUUUAUGACUAACCAUCCAAGCAAAAAAUAUAUUCAAUAAUUAAAAACCUAAACAUACCUAGUAUUUAUUUUCUCUUCUCAAAGCAAUGUUCUUUGGGAAAUUCUCCAUAUAAGACUCAGAAUAUUGACCCUGGGGAUUCAGAGAAUGAGCUUUCUGUGACUAGAAUGAAAAGUAGAGAUAUUAUAUUUAAGUAGAACAGGAUUUUUCAGAGGCUCUUUUACACCUGGCCAGCCUGGAGAACAGCAGGAGGAGGUAAGGCUGGGAGAGGGAACCCUGAGCAGGAUAACAAAGCAGUACAGUAAGAGUGUGGGCCUUGGGACUAGACAGCCCUGGGAUCAAAACUCUGUUCUGACACAAGCAGUGUAGUCUUGAUCAUGAUUUUUCACCUCUCUGGGACUUUGUUUCCUCUUAUGUAAAAUACAGAUAAUAAUAGUAUGUGUUUGCAACAAUUUGGGUGGGGAAAGGUAAGGAUUUAAUAGGACUAUUUAUAUUAAUUGUUUAGAACAGGCCUAGAAUAUGCUGAAUGAUAAAUAAACUAUUGUUGGUACUGAAAAUGGUGUUGACCAUGACAAGGAUUAAAAGAAUAUAGUUGACUAGGGAUGCUUAUAUUUUGAGUAGUCCCUGAGGAUGUUGAGGUUAAGAAAGAAAGAAAAGCUGACCUCAAGGUUUUUAAUGGUAUGCUAGUGUGAAGUCACUUCUAUGCAUUUUUUUCUCUUUGCCAGGUAGGGUGGGAAACUAGAUGGAGCCUUUAGUCCAAGUCCAUGCCUUUAUCACUAAUCUACUGUUUUUGCUCCUAGUUCCAAAUAGAAAGCUGUUGAAAAGUUGUUGCAUUAAGCCUGAAUAAAAGUUAUCAUAAAAACAUAGAAAAAAUACUUUGGAGUUGGUCAAAGCUGAAUUUGAAACCUGCAGUAAUCUAAGCCAUGUUACUUAACCUCAUUGAACCUCAGUUUCUUCAUCUGUAAUAUAAUAAUUAAUUUGCACAGUUCCAUGAGGAUAUUUGUAAAGUGUAUGUUAUAAACACUAUAAAUCACAUCUAUUAUUAUUAUUGUUAGUUCUUGGGACACUCACCAUGUGACAGAAACAACAACAUGCCCUGGUGACUGGGAGGACUCAGGCUUCUCUUCAUGGAUCCAGCAGCAACCUGGAGGGGUGCUUCUCCGAAGAAAUCCUACUCGGAUGGAUAUAAUACAACCUGCUAAGUGUCCUAGCACUUAUCAGAUUGUAUUAUCAUUGUCCGUGUCUAUGGCUCUCGACUACCAGACUCUAAGUUCCUUAAGGGCAAGGACAGUGCCUUAUUCAUCUUUGUAUUCCCAGUGCCUAACCAGUGCACAUUGUAGGCCUCAUUAAAUGUUUGUUGAAUGAAAAAAUGAAUCAUCAACAGACAUUAAUUGGGCGCCUGCUCUGUGAUCUCCAAGGGCUCAGCUUGUCCCCGCCUGUUGUCUACAACGUCCAAGCUCUCUUCAGAAUGUUUACUCCUGAAACUUACUCCUAUUUUCUAAUUCUUUUUACUGGGGACCUUUCUGUCUAGUACAAGGAUAGCAGAUGGACUUCAUCUCAAGUGCCAUCUCCAAUUGAUUCAGAGUGCCAGCCUGGAAUAUGUGUUAAAAUGGAUUCUGAAGCCAGGUUCCAGCUCAGUGCGAAAGACGGUUAUAACUGAUUAGUGUUGUCUGUAGAGGGUGGGACAAGGGGGAGUAGCUGAACGUGUGUCACACGUAUGUCAUAUUUAAUAUUGUGUCUUCCAUGAAGUACACCAUUUCUAUGCCUGCAUUUUAGUCUUGGCUACUUGCAGAUGUUGCAUGGCUGCUGCUGCUUCUAAAACUGCUGCCAGUUGCUCCUUGGCUAUGACCAGAGUGAUCAUUGCCUGAUCAGGAACCUCAUCCUCACAGUCUGGGGUUUGCUACUGUGGCUGGUACUCACAGUCUUCCCCUUUCAACUUUACCCCAGCUAUACCCCUACCUGAAUUUACAGGUAGGCCUCUGCUUUCCUGAUCACCACUCACCAGGCUCUUAUUUCCUUACUCUUAUUUGGUGUGCUUAGUCAUUACUGCUCCACUUUCUGUUUACAGAUAUGCCAACUAGAAUACAGGUUAAACUACUCCUUCAAGGCCCCACAGUGAAUUAUAUAAACUCCCUUUUAAUAUGGGAGAAAAUUGAGUGUGUUUUCAGACCAUGAGCAGGAGGAACUGAGAAGGGAGUCUUUGUAGAUAUAGGAGAGAGAGAUGAUAACAGAUGGAAUAAGAGCCUAAGAGAUGAUUCAGGUGAGGAUGGGAAAGUGAAACUUACGGCUCUAGAACACAGGUGGAUAAAAAGAACUACCUCUUCACUAGAGCAUAGAGAUAGGGAUAGGAUUAAGGAAGGGAAUUUCACAUGGGUGGUGAAGAUUAGAAAUUGCAGAGGUGAAUGACAGAGAGGAAGCUGACCAGGGUCAAAAAAACAAAACAAAACAGUUUGCUGGAGUAGGAUGACCAGAGGGGUUUGGGUAUGAACCAGUCUCUAAGGAAUAUAUAGGCCAAAAGGCUGGCUAGAGUGUGGACAUUAACAGGAGAGCUUAUGGUAUUAAAGUGAGAAAUUAGUUUGAAACUGGAUUAGAAAUUGUCAGAAAAUACAGUCUUGGGUCAUUGCCACAAAUACCAUUUGGGUACCUGGAGCUAACCUUAACUGAUUGAGGGGUUGACAGCAAGAGAGGAAUUACAUAGAAAUGGAUUUGACGAUCCAGGCUGGGUAGGGUAGGAAGUAAGGUCAGCAAGGAGAUCAAGAUGUGAAAUCAAGAUGGGUUUCAGAUAAUUGGGAAACUGGCAUGAUGGGAGCUGUGAUCAGAGAGUAUGUUUUGGAAUGUUAUGAUUCCAGAAGUAUAGUGGUCAAGAACCUAUGAAGCUAGGAUGUCAGAUGGUCAUUUACAUGGCUAUCGAAGUAACCCAGGAUUAUAACAGAAGGUGGGCUGAGAACAAACACUAUGGGGCAGGUAUAAAAGGCUUCAGUGACUGUAAAGAAUUAUCUGGAGGUUGACACAUAACAACUGUGUAAAUGCAAGAGAGGAGGAGCUGUAGUUGUCUAGUAGUAUGAGCCUCAGAAGAGUGGUGUGGUUGUUAUAAGAUGCAAAAGCAGUGGUUUGCACAUUGCACUGAGGUGUUGGCUGGCAGAAUGCCCAGGUAAAAUGACCCUCCACCUCUUUUACUGAGUGCUUGCUCUGUACCUGGCACCUUGCUAUGUGCUAUACAUUUACUCCUUCUGGGUCUGUCACAUUUCAGGUGUGGGAGAAUGAGCAACAAUCCUUGGUGAGGACAGCUAGGGGAGCUGCUGGCCCUUAGAGCAGUGGGCUGGACUCCUGUGGCCAUCUCCUAACUCCUUUGAAAGAGCAGUGGGCUGGUCAGCUUGAAAUGGCAUGAAAAGAUUUCCUUUAAAUCAAAAUUUUCCCUUGACGUUGAACUAAGUUCACUACAUAGUACAAGCUUUUGUUGACUGUAUUCCAUGAUACACUUUAGCUUCUAAGUCUCUGACUUGAGCUAGUAUUGCCCUUAAAAGAAACUAGGCAUAGUACUUUAAAAACACACAUGUUAAUUAACUAGAACAAGACAUAGCCCUAUUAAUUAUUUAAUUCAGCUUUUAAGAUAAAGGUGGACAAAAGAAAGCUUGUAUCAAUCAGUGAAUAACAAAACUACUUUGUAAAGUCAUUCUAGGGUUAGGAUACAUCCAGUUUAAUGGCCCAUAUUGUAGAUGUUCUCUGUACUGUUGGGGAGGAGGUUUGGAAGUUGAUGCAGAGAGAUUGCCUUAAGGGCAGGAGGGUAAAGCUUAGGAGAAGAGAUUUUCUCUGAACCCUCUGACAUUGCAUGCAGACAUUUUUCUUGUAAGUACAUUUUCUUGGGGAGAGGGUUCAUGGCUUCCAUUACAUUCUUCAAACGAGUCAAUAUUCCAACAGUGGUUUAAGAACCACUGUGUUAGAGUUACUAGGCCCUGAGACAGUCUAUGUCCUCCUAUGGGGGCUGGUUUAUAUUUAUUCCCCAGCAGGAGAAGCUAGUAGAAGACUUCACAUGAGGGUGAAAAAAGGGAAGAAGCAACAGAGGAUGACUACAGCCUCUCUUCAUCUCAGCUUCACAAAGCAUCACUCAACAAAAGGAACACAGGCUACCUACUUGCAACACCUCCCAUCUGGGAUGAGCUUUAUUGUGAAUAAGUGAAGAAAACCUUAGGCAUGCUACAAUAUCUAAAAUAAAAGGAAGAGCUGCUUUGGAGAAAGGCUUUGAAAGAUUCUUUUAUGGAAGAGAUUUAGAAGAAGGGAAACUUCCAAUUACAUAAGGUAUUCAUCUGCAGGGAUUCCAGUACAUGAAGGAGCAAGAGGACAGGUAUCCAGUGGACAACAGUGUGACCUUUUGCGUGAAGAUAACAACUGAAAAGAUCAUGGGUUUGACUGGACUGGUUGGACUUGUUUGUUUAUUGUUGUUGUUAAUAAAAAUGCUUUGCUCAAUGAUAAAACUAACAGACAAUCAUUGUUAAAAAAAAUAAGAUGAUAAGUUUAAAUUAAAAAGUAGAGAACACUUAUAAUUUUAUAACCUAGAAAACAAUAACUAGUAACAUUUGAGUGUAUGUCCUUUCAGUCUUUAUAAAAAACACAUUUUUAAAACAAUUGACAUCAUACUGUAUGUAUUGUUUUAUUCUAAAUCUUUUUUCUCUUGGAAUAGCAUGAGCAUAUUUCCACAUCAUUAAUAUUCUUUGAAAACACAAUAUUAAAAGCUAUAUAGUAUUAUUUCAUAUGGAUCUAACAAAAUUUUAUUAGAUGACCUCAUGUUGUUGGACAUUUUGGAUGUUACCAACUUUGCCUAUAAAAUUAAAAUGUAGUGAACUUCAUUGUGUAUUAAUCUUUGUGUGUACCUCUAUUUCUUUAGAAUAAAUUCCUAGAAUUGGAAUUUCUGGGUUGAACAAUGGAGCAUUUCUAGGGCACCUAAUAGGUAUUGCUGGAUUCUCCUCAGUACAGUUGGACAAACUACAUUACCAUCAGUAGUGUAUGAAUGUGAAUACUGCUCCAUAUAAUCCCUAAAUCAUGGCCUUUCUCUCUUUUUGUAAAUCUCUGCAAAUUUAAUAAGUAAAAAAUAUCCUUUUAUUGCUUUUAAAAUUUUAAUUCUUUUUAAUUUACAUACAGUAAAAUUCACUCUUUAUGGUAUAUGGUUCUAUGGGUUUUGACAAAUGCAUAGAGUCAUGUAUCUACCACCCUAGUACCAUACAGAUCAGUUCAAGCACCCUAAUAAUUUCUCUGGACAGCCCUUUUGUAGUCUACCCCUUGCUCCAUGUCCAAACCCUACAAAUCACUGGUUUGUUCUCCAUUCCUAUGGUUUUGACUUCUCCAGAAUGUCAUAUGAAUGGAAUUAUGUAAUAUGUACCCUUUUUGGUCUGACUUCUUCCACUUAGUAAAAUGCAUUUAAGCGUCCUCCAUGUUCUUACAAGAAUCAAUAGUUCAUUUCUGUGUAUUGCUGAGUAGUAUUUCACUGUGUGGAUGUACCAGAUUUUUAUCUUUGUUGGUUGAUGGAAAUGUUAGAUGUUUCCAGUUUUUCAUGUAUGAAUAAAAUUGUUAUAAACUUUCAUUUACAA